This is a long non-coding RNA of Gigantopelta aegis, 3398 nucleotides long. RefSeq lists it as uncharacterized. The transcript has 2 exons. Lineage: Eukaryota; Metazoa; Mollusca; Gastropoda; Neomphalida; Peltospiridae. The record is from RefSeq and is a predicted model, not a curated record.
GUGAAUGGGACUAUGUAAUAUUAUCUACUGUUCUUCUUGUUCUGUAUUUUCAGGAAGUGAAUGGGACUAUGUAAUAUUAUCUACUGUUCUUAUUGUUCUGUAUUUUCAGGAAGUGAAUGGGACUAUGUAAUAUUAUCUACUGUGCGGUCAUUGCCUAGGACACAGAUUGAGAUUCACCCAACAAAUGGUUGGAUUAGAAGAAACCUGGGUUUUAUAUCCGACGAGAACCAAGUGAAUGUGGCCAUCACUAGGGCUAGGAAAGGACUGGUACUCAUUGGUAACAAGUAUCUGCUAAGAUGCAAUAGCUUGUGGCAGCACAUUCUUAAGAAGUACUCUCAGGAUGGCAAGUUACUUGAUGCAGACGACUUUCUUGCCAUUAUCAAUUAUGGUGUUUCAGUUUAAGAAAAUUGAUGAAAACGUGUGUGAUUUUGUUGGACAAAUUAAUAGGAAUGAAGAUGUGACAUAGUUCUUUUGAAUAAAUUAAAAAAAAAAAUUCCAGAAUCAAAAACUUGCUGUAGCAAUUUGUGUUUACCACCUGUGUUGCUGAUAAACAAGAAAAAGUGUUUCACAACUGUUAAAUGAAAUGUUUUCGUGAAUCAAACUACACUUGAUUUAAAAAUCAUGUUUUGAUGUUUUUGAUGUGUUUUACUGUGUGAGUUGCCCUCUAAACAUCAAUUAUUUAUCAAUCAAUCCACAAACAAAUAUCAAGCACAUGAUAUCAAAAUGGCAAUCCCCGAUGAAUCCGUGUGAAAUUCCGCAUAUGUUUUCAUUUGUGGUAUGUGCCACCCAUUUUAGACAUCUGCUGUUAAUGUUGCCCACAAUGUAAAAUGUGUUUUUGUGUUUUAAAAACAAUUUUUGUGUGUGUUAAGCUUAAGUGACUCACUAUGUUGAUAUCGAUGAACUAUUUGAUGCUUGGAUAACAGUUUUGACUUACAUUACAAUAUUGACAAGUGUCUGUGAAAAACAACAUACACAAGAGAUGUUGUAAAUGCCAGUAAAUAUUUAUUUAUUUAUUUAACUACAUGUAUAGAGAUUAUUUUAUUGACUUAUUGACUUUCUCUGUUUAAAUUUUUUGUUUUAUUCUUUGUAAAAUCUACAUCAUAUAAGUAGUAUUAAUAGUUAUUUUAAAAAUGGAGCUGUUUUUCGUUUGUAUUAUAUUGUGUCCUAGUGAUAAAGACUUGUAUAAUCUGCAAUGCAUGGAAUCAUAACAACAUAUAAACAUGAGCAAACACAUAUUUUGUCAAAUCAAAAUCUUGUAUGCUACAGACUGGAACAACAAUGGCUGAAAUAUUAUAUGUAAUUGGAUGUAAGGAAUGGGAACUAUUACUUUGUGUAAUGUAACUCAUACAUUGUGAUGUCAUAGUUACAGUGACAUAAUAAUGCUAAUAUUCUUUGUAUUGUCUUUUAAGAUUUUUAAUUUGCACACAUCAGCAAAGAUGGAUAUAAUUUAGUUCUCUGAGAUUUGUUAAACAUUUUUGAAAAAGGCCUUGUUGCUGAACAUAUUAAUUAGUAUGUUUUUAUUUUAAUUAUUUUACUUUUUUCGAAGGCUACUUUUCUGUAGAAAUAUUAUGAUAUAUUUACAAAAUGAAUGUUUGUAUAUGAUGUAAACUGUUAUUACAGUGAUGUCAACUGAUUUAUGAUACUAAUAUUAUAUUUGAAUUACCGCGAAUGUUUCCAUUUUAGCGAUAAUGUUAACAUUUGGUUUUUCGUUCGCGCUUAUGUACUGUAGAUUGAUUUUAAGGCAAUUUUUGUUAAUAGGGAUAGGGAAUUUAGCGAUUUUUAGGCAUAAAAUCAUGCUUGACUUCUUUCUUCUUUUUUAUUUAGUGGAGGAGAACAAAUGUUUGUUUUAAAAUGUAGUAGGAUUGCAUUAUUAUAACAAUGGUGGACCAUAUCACAUAUGCACAACUUUUUGUAAAACUUGUACAUGUUUCAGAACCAGUUACUUUUGAGAGAACAUUUUUAUAGCUUUUAGUUGUAUUUUGAAUUUUUGCAAGCUUUGUAUUUUGAACAUCUUGAUCAUUGAAAUAUAGAUCACAGAUAAAUUCAUAUUUGUAACUAGGGUCUCCACGAGUACAUGGGCAUGGGUCGAGUCUAGGAAGACUCGAGUCCGAACAUAGGACUCGAGUACCCGUAUAAGGUAGAAUGUAAUGGUCAACUAUAAUACAUUGGACAAUGUAGGACAGUAAUUUCAGUAGUAGAUAAUCAACAAUAUAAGUUACACAAUAAUUAUAUGAUCAUGUGCUAGUUUUUCUUUUUAAACUGGCCGUCCGUCUGCCACAAAAUUGAACAUAUCAACUAGUUUCUAAAUGCAAUACAAUGGCAUGACUUGGCAUCCAUGUUCAGUGCUGGAAUUAAGAUACAUUAUGCUAUUUUACUUUAUCUCUUAGUCUCAUCAUCACCUAGUGUAAGUGUUGGGUAAGUUUGACCCUCGAGUACUUGAAUCCAAUAUUUUGGACUCGUGGAGGCCCUAUUUGUAACCAUGCUUUAUAGUUACAAAUAAUUUGAUAAUUUAAACUGCAACAUGCUAGAAGUAUAAUAUGUGUGAUAUUAUUAUAAAUAUUCUUCAUUAAAUGUUUGAGGUGUUUUAUUAUUUCAUCUUUACAAAUUAAAAAAGCAAGGUAUAGGUAUUACUUUUCUAAUGGCAGUACCGGCGGCAAUAAAAUUUAACAUUAACGUUUCACAUUUAGAUCAAUUUUAAAAAAAACUAUAGGUUCUAGGUCAGUGAAAUUUGGUUUGUGAUUGCACUUAUGAAUAUUCAUCACAAUGCAUCAAAUUUUGUUUAUGGUAGGUGAGACAUUUAAUUACACAGAAUUCUUGUGAGUUAUAUGUUUUAAUAAUGGCUGUCUGAUGUAUUGCGAUCAAUUAACAACAUUAUUUGUUUAUGGUAGGUGAGACAUUUAAUUACACAGAAUUCUUGUGAGUUAUAUGUUUUAAUAAUGGCUGUCUGAUGUAUUGCGAUCAAUUAACAACAUUAUUUGUUUAUGGUAGGUGAGACAUUUAAUUACACAGAAUUCUUGUGAGUUAUAUGUUUUAAUAAUGGCUGUCUGAUGUAUUGCGAUCAGUUAACAACAUUAUUUGUUUAUGGUAGGUGAGACAUUUAAUUACACAGAAUUCUUGUGAGUUAUAUGUUUUAAUAAUGGCUGUCUGAUGUAUUGCGAUCAAUUAACAACAUUAUUUGUUUAUGGUAGGUGAGACAUUUAAUUACACAGAAUUCUUGUGAGUUAUAUGUUUUAAUAAUGGCUGUCUGAUGUAUUGCGAUCAAUUAACAACAUUAUUUGUUUAUGGUAGGUGAGACAUUUAAUUACACAGAAUUCUUGUGAGUUAUAUGUUUUAAUAAUGGCUGUCUGAUGUAUUGCGAUCAAUUAACAACAUUAUUUGUUUAUGGUAGGUGAGACAUU